GAUGAACGCUAGCUACAGGCUUAACACAUGCAAGUCGAGGGGAAACGAUAGAGAAAGCUUGCUUUUUCUAGGCGUCGACCGGCGCACGGGUGAGUAACGCGUAUCCAACCUGCCCACCACUUGGGGAUAACCUUGCGAAAGUAAGACUAAUACCCAAUGAUAUCUCUAGAAGACAUCUGAAAGGGAUUAAAGAUUUAUCGGUGAUGGAUGGGGAUGCGUCUGAUUAGCUUGUUGGCGGGGUAACGGCCCACCAAGGCUACGAUCAGUAGGGGUUCUGAGAGGAAGGUCCCCCACAUUGGGACUGAGACACGGUCCAAACUCCUACGGGAGGCAGCAGUGAGGAAUAUUGGUCAAUGGACGAGAGUCUGAACCAGCCAAGUAGCGUGCAGGAUGACGGCCCUAUGGGUUGUAAACUGCUUUUAUAAGGGAAUAAAGUGAGUCUCGUGAGACUUUUUGCAUGUACCUUAUGAAUAAGGACCGGCUAAUUCUGUGCCAGCCGCCGCCGUAA
This 508-nucleotide ribosomal RNA is filed under the name uncultured bacterium. Its description in RNAcentral is "partial 16S ribosomal RNA". It matches the Rfam family "Bacterial small subunit ribosomal RNA", at positions 28 to 523 of the family's 1533-position model. The record is from RNAcentral.